GGUUAAGCGACUAAGCGUACACGGUGGAUGCCCUGGCAGUCAGAGGCGAUGAAGGACGUGCUAAUCUGCGAUAAGCGUCGGUAAGGUGAUAUGAACCGUUAUAACCGGCGAUUUCCGAAUGGGGAAACCCAGUGUGUUUCGACACACUAUCAUUAACUGAAUCCAUAGGUUAAUGAGGCGAACCGGGGGAACUGAAACAUCUAAGUACCCCGAGGAAAAGAAAUCAACCGAGAUUCCCCCAGUAGCGGCGAGCGAACGGGGAGGAGCCCAGAGCCUGAAUCAGUGUGUGUGUUAGUGGAAGCGUCUGGAAAGGCGCGCGAUACAGGGUGACAGCCCCGUACACAAAAAUGCACAUACUGUGAGCUCGAUGAGUAGGGCGGGACACGUGGUAUCCUGUCUGAAUAUGGGGGGACCAUCCUCCAAGGCUAAAUACUCCUGACUGACCGAUAGUGAACCAGUACCGUGAGGGAAAGGCGAAAAGAACCCCGGCGAGGGGAGUGAAAAAGAACCUGAAACCGUGUACGUACAAGCAGUGGGAGCCUCUUUAUGGGGUGACUGCGUACCUUUUGUAUAAUGGGUCAGCGACUUAUAUUCUGUAGCAAGGUUAACCGAAUAGGGGAGCCGAAGGGAAACCGAGUCUUAACUGGGCGUUAAGUUGCAGGGUAUAGACCCGAAACCCGGUGAUCUAGCCAUGGGCAGGUUGAAGGUUGGGUAACACUAACUGGAGGACCGAACCGACUAAUGUUGAAAAAUUAGCGGAUGACUUGUGGCUGGGGGUGAAAGGCCAAUCAAACCGGGAGAUAGCUGGUUCUCCCCGAAAGCUAUUUAGGUAGCGCCUCGUGAAUUCAUCUCCGGGGGUAGAGCACUGUUUCGGCAAGGGGGUCAUCCCGACUUACCAACCCGAUGCAAACUGCGAAUACCGGAGAAUGUUAUCACGGGAGACACACGGCGGGUGCUAACGUCCGUCGUGAAGAGGGAAACAACCCAGACCGCCAGCUAAGGUCCCAAAGUCAUGGUUAAGUGGGAAACGAUGUGGGAAGGCCCAGACAGCCAGGAUGUUGGCUUAGAAGCAGCCAUCAUUUAAAGAAAGCGUAAUAGCUCACUGGUCGAGUCGGCCUGCGCGGAAGAUGUAACGGGGCUAAACCAUGCACCGAAGCUGCGGCAGCGACGCUUAUGCGUUGUUGGGUA
Molecule: ribosomal RNA, 1188 nt
Filed under: Escherichia coli
Lineage: Bacteria; Pseudomonadati; Pseudomonadota; Gammaproteobacteria; Enterobacterales; Enterobacteriaceae
Description: partial 23S ribosomal RNA
Rfam family: Bacterial large subunit ribosomal RNA
Source: RNAcentral